GGGAUUGCCUUAGUAACGGCGAGUGAAGCGGCAACAGCUCAAAUUUGAAAUCUGGCUCCUUCGGGGUCCGAAUUGUAAUUUGUAGAGAGUGCUUCGGGCGAGGCCUCGGUCUAAGUCCAUUGGAACAUGGUGUCAUAGAGGGUGAGAAUCCCGUAUGCGACCGUGGCUCGAGCCCAUGUGAAGCCUCUUCGACGAGUCGAGUUGUUUGGGAAUGCAGCUCAAAAUGGGUGGUAAAUUUCAUCUAAAGCUAAAUACUGGCUGGAGACCGAUAGCGCACAAGUAGAGUGAUCGAAAGAUGAAAAGCACUUUGGAAAGAGAGUCAAACAGUACGUGAAAUUGUUGAAAGGGAAGCGCUUGCAACCAGACCUGCCCGUAGGCGAUCAGCCGCUGUUUUCAGCGGUGCACUCGCUCUGCGAUCAGGCCAGCAUCGGUUUCGGCGGUCGGAUAAAGGCCUUGGGAAUGUAGCUCCCCUCCGGGGGAGUCUUAUAGCCCUUGGUGCAAUGCGGCCAGCCGGGACCGAGGACCGCGCUUCGGCUAGGAUGCUGGCGUAAUGGUUGUAA
RNAcentral lists this ribosomal RNA (560 nucleotides) under Xanthoparmelia verruculifera. Its description in RNAcentral is "eukaryotic LSU rRNA". It matches the Rfam family "Eukaryotic large subunit ribosomal RNA", at positions 71 to 643 of the family's 3401-position model. Lineage: Eukaryota; Fungi; Ascomycota; Lecanoromycetes; Lecanorales; Parmeliaceae. The record is from RNAcentral.